UACGGAAGGCAGCAGUGGGGAAUAUUGCACAAUGGGCGAAAGCCUGAUGCAGCUAUGCCGCGUGUAUGAAGAAGGCCUUAGGGUUGUAAAGUACUUUCAUCGGGGAGGAAAAAACAAAACUAAUAAUUUUAUUUCUUGACGUUACCCGAAAAAGAAGCACCGGCUAACUCCGUGCCAGCAGCCGCGGUAAUACGGAGGGUGCUAGCGUUAAUCAGAAUUACUGGGCGUAAAGAGCACGUAGGUGGUUUUUUAAGUCAGAUGUGAAAUCCCUGGGCUUAACCUAGGAACUGCAUUUUGAAACUGAAAUACUAGAGUAUCGUAGAGGGAGGUAGAAUUCUAGGUGUAGCGGUGAAAUGCGUAGAUAUCUGGAGGAAUACCUGUGGCGAAAGCGGCCUCCUAAACGAAUACUGACACUGAGGUGCAAAAGGCGUGGGGAGCAAACAGGGAUUAGAUACC
RNAcentral lists this ribosomal RNA (456 nucleotides) under uncultured bacterium. Its description in RNAcentral is "bacterial SSU rRNA". It matches the Rfam family "Bacterial small subunit ribosomal RNA", at positions 340 to 786 of the family's 1533-position model. The record is from RNAcentral.